CCCCUACGGGGCGCAGCAGUAGGGGAUAUUGGACAAUGGGGGAAACCCUGAUCCAGCGACGCCGCGUGAGUGAAGAGGUAUUUCGGUAUGUAAAGCUCUGUCAGCAGGGAAGAAAGAAAUGACGGUACCUGACCAAGAAGCCCCGGCUAACUACGUGCCAGCAGCCGCGGUAAUACGUAGGGGGCAAGCGUUAUCCGGAAUUACUGGGUGUAAAGGGAGCGUAAACGGUGAUGCAAGUCUGGAGUGAAAGGCGGGGCCCAACCCCCGGACUGCUUUGGAGACUGGAUAACUGGAGUGCAGGAGAG
This 305-nucleotide ribosomal RNA is filed under the name uncultured bacterium. RNAcentral describes it as "bacterial SSU rRNA". It matches the Rfam family "Bacterial small subunit ribosomal RNA", at positions 336 to 656 of the family's 1533-position model. The record is from RNAcentral.